Molecule: long non-coding RNA, 261 nt
Filed under: Cavia porcellus (domestic guinea pig)
Lineage: Eukaryota; Metazoa; Chordata; Mammalia; Rodentia; Caviidae
Description: lncRNA (ENSCPOG00000030089.1)
Source: RNAcentral
CCUUGCUGGGCUGGAAAAUCUGCCUGUGACAUACCGCUCUGAUAGUGUGGGCUUGGAGGUCCAGGAAAUCUACUUGGGAUUCUUGUCCCAGAUCAUUGCAGAGUCAGUUGGAUGAUGGGGAGCCAUUGGAGUGUGUGGAACCCUUGCUGCUGAGCAGGGACCGCUGCUGCCUUAAUCCAUCACAUCUGGUAGCUGAGUCAUGUGUGGGGAGUUACUGUCACCUAAGGAAGUCCGUCAUUUAUAGCUCCAGACAGUUCUGUA